Molecule: non-coding RNA, 743 nt
Organism: Oryzias latipes (Japanese medaka)
Lineage: Eukaryota; Metazoa; Chordata; Actinopteri; Beloniformes; Adrianichthyidae
Source: RefSeq, a predicted model, not a curated record
CCCCACACACAGUUCUGCUCCCGAACUUUCAUUCAUUUUCUUAACCCAAUUUUGGACAGGCGGGGCGGGGCGGCAAACCCCCAACAACAGGUUGUAUGAGUCGACAGAGCCCGGGUCCGUUAAGCGCCGUCUCUGCCUGUAGCAUCUCCAGUUCAAAGAAGAUAGCGACACUCCAGCGGCCACACAGCCUAACUUAGACCGUUUCUGUUAACUGCCACCAUGCUGCUAAAGGUCAAAUACGGAAGUACCAAAAAAUACAUCCGAUUAAAGUCAGGAUUUCUCAUCUGUGAAGUAAAAAACAAGUUUGGAAUUCCGGAUGGAACUGAGCUAUCACAUUUUUGAUGACACAGCAGUGGAGGAAGAUGUUCUUCUUGAACUUAUAGAAAGCAAACCUGACCUGUGUCUGACUGUUAGUGACAGCAUAUGAGAUAAACAUUCUCGUCCAUCCACCCUCCCUGAAGAACAGUCAGUCACUUUGAGUGUGACUGACUUCUUGAACUUCUUGAACAUUUCAAUGAGCAGUUUCAUGCGUACAAAGUGUUCGUAAGUACUCAAAAUGAGUUCAUUAAAGCAGACAGUCUUGCCAUUCACAGGCCGUUCAACUUACAAAGUGCCUACAGUGAAGACGACAGCAUUUAUAUUGUACCUUUGUCUUUGUUGUAAUGAUGGUCAAGUUUACCUUGUGCUCAAAAUGUUAUGGUGCUUGGAUGAUCUCUUACUCUUAAUAAAGAGUUCAAAGCUUU